This 2297-nucleotide long non-coding RNA is filed under the name Meriones unguiculatus (Mongolian gerbil). RNAcentral describes it as "lncRNA (ENSMUGG00000016570.1)". Lineage: Eukaryota; Metazoa; Chordata; Mammalia; Rodentia; Muridae. The record is from RNAcentral.
UUAGAUUUAUUUAUUAUUUAUACAACAUUCUGCCUGCACACCAGAUCUUACUAUAGAUGGUUAUGAGCCACCCUGUGGUUGCUGGGAACUGAACUCAGGACCUUUAGAAGAACAUCGAGUGUUCUUAACCUCUGAGCCAUCACUCAAGCCCCAGAGCUGACAUUUCUACCUGCCAAAACAUAGUGUGAUUUAAGCAUGGACAGAGGUAUCGUUUAAAGUGACAGGAAAGGCAGAGGGCUCUCUCUUCCCUUAGAGAGAGGCCCAUGCCAUAUUCCCAGUGUAGAGCACCUGCAUGUGUUGGGGUUCUCCCAUGGCAGGUCCCCAUGUCUGCUCCAUCUGACAGAUAAGGAAACUGAGGUUCAAAGAGGAAGUAACCUGCCACAGACAUACAGGCUGUGAGGGGCGGAUGCCGCAGCUUCUCUGGGGCAGAACCAGAGGCUGGCGUCCACAUUUCCUCCAGGCUGGAGUGCAGAGAUCGGCUCAGGACCAGCGUUACUCUCAGACCCCUCAUGGGUAUCCAUGUCUUCCCGGAUGAAGAAGGGGUUUCCUCAGCUGCCCGUGGGGGGGGCAGUAGGACAUACUGCUGUCCCCUUGUCCAGCCUCCCAGUUGUGUAUCAGGGCCAAGGCUCAUUGUGGCCACUGGAAGGGUCCUGAGGUCUGGAAAUCGCUGUGGGCUUGGGUUGGUAAGGCACCUGACUACGUGAGGCCAAGCAUGAGGUGGGCAUCAAGGUCUCUCUUGUAGGUCCCUUCUUCCUGCUUAUAAGCCCACAAUGCCCACUCCCAUGUGGACAACCAGCUCUCACAUUUCCCCAUUCAGCUGAUGGUGAACACUGUGCUAUUUUAAGCCCGCAUGGAAGUAUGUCUUUUUUUUUUUUUUAAAUAAGGACCAUCUGCUACCGGCCCCAGCCCAGAUGAUACAGUUGGAGCCUGCCCACAGCAUCCUCUCCCGCCUUCAGACGGUUCCAGGAACGAGAGUGAGUCAGACCCAGCUGAAGCAUGUCUUGCUAACCCAAGCAAUAGCCCAGGGGCCCAGCACAGGGGACCACCUGCUUGCCGGGCAGGUGUUCUCUUCCCGCCUCUCCACACAGGGAAGGAAUCUCACCCUGAGCCUCACGGGCGCUCAGACCCGCCUUCCAGAUGCUGCCCCUUCCCUUUCCCAGGUCUGCAGCCAGUCACGAGUUCAAGCGCAGCUGCUGCAGCUCCUCACCACGGCAGCUUGUCACAAGGCACGUCACAGUGAAGCUGGUGGCUCAGAGCCUGGUCACUUCCUGCCGUGGUGGUGGCUCUCAGAAGAACUCCUGGAUCUACUUUGGUGUGGAGUCUACAUGGAAGCUGGAGUUCCUGUUCCAGAGACCCUACAGGAGGCUGAUGGCAGCGACACUGUUGUGGAGCCUGGAGACAUGUGGAUGCCCUUCUGGGCCUGAGAGACAGGGCUGCCAAGAACAUCUUAGCACAAUUCCCUUGGCAUGGAAGCCUGGCACUCCAGCUUGUGGAGGGGCUUGGGGAAGGCAAGGGUCCUGGAGGACAUUGAGACAAGCAGGGAAAGCCACACAGAACCAGCAUCACUCAAGGGGGUCGGAAAUGACAUGGUGAUCUGGUGCUUCUGGCAUGGGAACUGGGAUCGACCAGAAGGUCAAGGAUGGCAUGAAGCAAGGGAGUUUGUCAUUGAUGACAAGGGAAUUUUGCAUUUCUCAGAAGGUCAGGGAUGGCGUGAGGACUUAGACGUCCUGAAGGUUGGGAAUGACACAAAGACUUGGGCUUCUCCAAGAGAUUAGGGAUUACUCAGGGAGCUCUGGGAUGACACAGGGGCUGGGGUCUCCCGCGGAGAUCACAGACAGCCUGGGGAAUGCCCAGAGAGGUCAGGCUUUGAGUUGGGCUUUGUUUCUGCUGGUGACCCAUGACAGUCUUCUGACCCAGUGGCUUUCUGUUUCCUUUUUCUGAGAGAAUGGGGCAGUGGCUUGUGCCAUCCCAGAGGGAUCUGGGAUAGGGUCAAAAGGACAUUUGUACAUUUAUUUUUUAUGAUCUCUGUCUUGUACAGUCUUGGCUGGAAUGUACCUGAAGGGACUCUCUGGAAGAGGAAAGCAGGAGGGGUUGAGGCAGCCGGGGGAAUCCCUGAGAACAGGAAUUGGGUCUGUGGGCAGCCAUUCCCUCUACAGCUGUGGUUCUCAACCUUCCUAAAGCUGCAACCUUUAAUACAGUUUUUCAGGUUGCAGUGAUCCCCAAGCACAAGAAAGAAUUUCUUUUUCUACUUCAUGACUACAAUUUGCUAUUGUUGUAUAUUGUAAUAGAAAUGCCUG